This is a long non-coding RNA of Leguminivora glycinivorella, 1443 nucleotides long. RefSeq lists it as uncharacterized. The record is from RefSeq and is a predicted model, not a curated record. Lineage: Eukaryota; Metazoa; Arthropoda; Insecta; Lepidoptera; Tortricidae. The transcript has 2 exons.
GGAAUAUUCUUUUGAAUUCUUGUCAUAUAAAAUCAGUCUUUCCUCUACUUCUUCAAUUAAAAGACAGAUAUCAAUGUCGUCUUCAACAAUCUGCAUUUAAAAUAAUGUUUUUUUUUUCGAAUAACUGGCAACAUUGACAACCGACCGACGACUCUUUUGUCGCCGUGUGCGCACUUGCAUUGAAACCCAUAGGGAAGGAGACAGUUGCGUCGCGGCAGGCCUGUCGUCGACCCCUGCGACAAAAAAGUUGCGUCGCAACGUGUGCGCACCUUCAUACUAGCCCAUAGACCGAGCGACGGAGACAAAACUGUUGCGUCGCCCGUCUGCGCCCUCCCUUAACGUAGUGAGGAGUCAUUCAAAAAUGUUAUUACGGCCAAGGAGGAAAUCAUUUUGUUAAUUUGGUUAGUUUGGCGCUUUGCCCGCAUCGAGAUUUUAAGAUGGGCACAGUAACAUUCAUACAUAAGUAAAUAAAUUACAAUACUCAGAUACAUGUUUAAAAGUACUUUUAUUUUAUUUUCUCUGUAGACAGUGUAGACUAUUGUUAAUAAAAAUGAUGUUUUUUGUUGUAUUACACAACUAACAGCAUAAUAUAACAUCGACGACAAGAGCAAACAUAUUGUGUACAAAUAAAUAAAACUUAUGUAUAAAUAUAACAAGGUCCAAGGAAACGGAUUAGGUACGUUUAUUUCAAAUGUGGCAAUCACUGACACUCCAUAGCAAUCGAAACGCAACUGAGAGUGUUAGAGAAGCAUGAAACGUUUCGUUGGCGAAUCAAUAGCGAUUUUUGGCUUGGCCGGCAGACUCGUUAGCAUUUUGUGUCCUGCGUACUAGCAUUCAUCCUUCUCACAUUUAUGGCGCUUCUACAUCUGCUGUUAUAAAAUGAUGUAUUACAUUGUGUGACAGGGACAGCAUAAUCAAACACUGUCAAAUCUAUUACGUUACACAUAUACCCCCUUAUUCAUAAACGUUCACUAAAGUUCGACGUAUGGGUGUGAUAGAAAGGGAUUUUAUCGACUUGAUAACUUUAGUGAAAGUUUAUGAAUAAGGGAGAUAAUAUUUAUAACAGCCAAUGUGGGCGCAGUAAUACAUACAUACUUGCUAUUUAGAGACGGAUGCUUUACGUCGACGUAAAGGAUCGUGCCGCUCAUGCAUGCAGGCGAUAAGUUAAACACAAAAUAAUGUUCCUAUAAAAAUCAACAAAUAAGACGCUGCACACGUUCUAAGUUUGUAUCGAUAAAUAAACAAGACGUUGACUUGAUAUCUAGGAGGCGUUAUAAGGAAUGCCGAUGCGUCCCAACGGCGGAUCAGAGCAAGCGAGAAAUAUUCGUAUACAUAUGGAAAUUGCUGCGUCAUUUUUGCAUUGAACUUGCCAUUGAAUUCGCCACAACAGUCGUUUUAUUUUAUAACUUAUGUUAAAGAUACGUCAACGGAUCCUUGUGUUAA